CUAGCAUAUCAAUAAGCGGAGGAAAAGAAACUAACAAGGAUUCCCCUAGUAACUGCGAGUGAAGCGGGAAAAGCUCAAAUUUAAAAUCUGGCAGCCUUUGGUUGUCCGAGUUGUAAUCUAGAGAAGUGUUAUCCGCGCUGGACCGUGUACAAGUCUCCUGGAAUGGAGCGUCAUAGAGGGUGAGAAUCCCGUCUUUGACACGGACUGCCAGGGCUUUGUGAUGCGCUCUCAAAGAGUCGAGUUGUUUGGGAAUGCAGCUCAAAAUGGGUGGUAAAUUCCAUCUAAAGCUAAAUAUUGGCGAGAGACCGAUAGCGAACAAGUACCGUGAGGGAAAGAUGAAAAGAACUUUGGAAAGAGAGUUAAACAGUACGUGAAAUUGCUGAAAGGGAAACGCUUGAAGUCAGUCGCGUUGUCCAGGGAUCAACCUUGCUUUUGCUUGGUGCACUUUCUGGUCGACGGGUCAGCAUCAAUUUUGACUAUUGGAAAAAGAUUAGGGGAAUGUGGCAUCUUUGGAUGUGUUAUAGCCCUUGGUUGCAUACAAUGGUUGGGAUUGAGGAACUCAGCACGCCGCAAGGCCGGGUUUUUAACCACGUACGUGCUUAGGAUGCUGGCAUAAUGGCUUUAAUCGACCCGUCUUGAAACACGGACCAAGGAGUCUAACAUGCCUGCGAGUGUUUGGGUGGAAAACCCGAGCGCGUAAUGAAAGUGAAAGUUGAGAUCCCUGUCGUGGGGAGCAUCGACGCCCGGACCAGACCUUUUGUGACGGUUCCGCGGUAGAGCAUGUAUGUUGGGACCCGAAAGAUGGUGAACUAUGCCUGAAUAGGGUGAAGCCAGAGGAAACUCUGGUGGAGGCUCGUAGCGAUUCUGACGUGCAAAUCGAUCGUCAAAUUUGGGUAUAGGGGCGAAAGACUAAUCGAACC
RNAcentral lists this ribosomal RNA (920 nucleotides) under uncultured Cortinarius. RNAcentral's name for it is "eukaryotic LSU rRNA". It matches the Rfam family "Eukaryotic large subunit ribosomal RNA", at positions 34 to 941 of the family's 3401-position model. The record is from RNAcentral. Lineage: Eukaryota; Fungi; Basidiomycota; Agaricomycetes; Agaricales; Cortinariaceae.